GGUUAAGUGAAUAAGGGCGCACGGUGGAUGCCUUGGCACUAGGAGCCGAUGAAGGACGGGACUAACACCGAUAUGCUUUGGGGAGCUGUAAGUAAGCUAUGAUCCAGAGAUUUCCGAAUGGGGGAACCCAAUAUCUUUUAUAGGAUAUUACUUUUCAGUGAAUACAUAGCUGAUUAGAGGUAGACGCAGAGAACUGAAACAUCUUAGUACCUGCAGGAAGAGAAAGAAAAUUCGAUUCCCUGAGUAGCGGCGAGCGAAACGGGAAGAGCCCAAACCAACAAGCUUGCUUGUUGGGGUUGUAGGACUCCAAUAUGGUAGUCUGUUAGUAUAGUUGAAGGAUUUGGAAAAUUCCGCUAAAGAGGGUGAAAGCCCCGUAGACGAAAUGCUGACAACACCUAGGAGGAUCCUGAGUACG
This 415-nucleotide ribosomal RNA is filed under the name Enterococcus faecalis. RNAcentral describes it as "partial 23S ribosomal RNA". It matches the Rfam family "Bacterial large subunit ribosomal RNA", at positions 1 to 416 of the family's 2925-position model. Lineage: Bacteria; Bacillati; Bacillota; Bacilli; Lactobacillales; Enterococcaceae. The record is from RNAcentral.